This 274-nucleotide ribosomal RNA is filed under the name uncultured Leifsonia sp. RNAcentral describes it as "partial 16S ribosomal RNA". It matches the Rfam family "Bacterial small subunit ribosomal RNA", at positions 1111 to 1382 of the family's 1533-position model. Lineage: Bacteria; Bacillati; Actinomycetota; Actinomycetes; Micrococcales; Microbacteriaceae. The record is from RNAcentral.
UAUGUUGCCAGCACGUAAUGGUGGGAACUCAUGGGAUACUGACCGGGGGUCAAACUCGGAGGAAGUGGGGAUGACGUCAAAUCAUCAUGCCCCUUAUGUCUUGGGCUUCACGCAUGCUACAAUGGCCGGUACAAAGGGCUGCAAUACCGUAAGGUGGAGCGAAUCCGAAAAAGCCGGUCUCAGUUCGGAUUGCAGGCUGCAAUUCGCCUGCAUGAAGUCGGAAUCGCUAGUAAUCGCAGGUCAGCAUACUGCGGUGAAUACGUUCCCGGGCCUU